UUAUCUUUCCAAAUUGACUGAAAUCGAAUCUUCUAUUCUUGAUAGCCAAUAAAUAUGGAUUUUAGAGGCCAUAAUUUUGAACAAUUUGCAAUUAUUGACAAGAAAUUUUUUGAUUUAGCCAUCUAUUGGAAUUCAUUAUUUAAAUUAGAAAGCUGCAAAAUGUCUUCCAAUUUGGUUUGGCGUCAUUUAGAAAAUCAGCCAAAUUUGUCCCAAGUUUUAGAUUAUCUUUUUUCUAUUUUUGCUUGGCC
RNAcentral lists this long non-coding RNA (248 nucleotides) under Elaeis guineensis (African oil palm). RNAcentral's name for it is "long non-coding RNA (EGUI_LNC049606)". Lineage: Eukaryota; Viridiplantae; Streptophyta; Magnoliopsida; Arecales; Arecaceae. The record is from RNAcentral.